Molecule: ribosomal RNA, 774 nt
Filed under: uncultured Neocallimastigales
Lineage: Eukaryota; Fungi; Neocallimastigomycota; Neocallimastigomycetes; Neocallimastigales
Description: partial large subunit ribosomal RNA
Rfam family: Eukaryotic large subunit ribosomal RNA
Source: RNAcentral
UACGACUACAUAUCAGGCAUAUCAAUAAGCGGAGGAAAAGAAACUAACUAGGAUUCCCUCAGUAACGGCGAGUGAAGCGGGAAGAGCUCAAAUUUGAAAUCUUCAAGGUUCUACCUUGACGAAUUGUAGUUUAAAGAAGUGUUUUCUGUUGGAGUUUUGGUAAAAGUUCUUUGGAAUAGGACAUCAUAGAGGGUGAGAAUCCCGUAUUUGACCAUUAUUUCCAGCUUUGUGAUACACUUUCAAAGAGUCGGAUUGUUUGGGAAUGCAGUCCAAAAUGGGUGGUAAAUUUCAUCUAAAGCUAAAUAUUGGCGAGAGACCGAUAGCGAACAAGUACCGUGAGGGAAAGAUGAAAAGAACUUUGAAAGGAGAGUUAAACAGUACGUGAAAUUGUCAAAAGGGAAGCGUUUGACACCAGUGUUGUUUUCUCGAAAAUCAAUUAAAAAAGGCAGGAUUUUGUGUUGUAUUGACUUUAUCAGCUUUCUGCACUCUUUUCUUGUCUUUUUUAAUGCACUUUUCGUUUAACAAGUCAACAUCAAUUUCUUUUGUUGUAAAAGGGUCAUUGGAAGGUGGCUUUCUUUUCGGAGAAAGUGUUUAUAGCCUUUGGCCUCUGCAAUCGGAGAGAUUGAGGUCUGCAGCGUAGAUCCUUCGGGGUUAGAUACAUUUGUGCUAAGUUAUAGCCUUUCAUAGACAACUUGUUGACUAUGAUCAGUCAUGUAGCUUACUCGCUUAUGCUAUUUUACCUACGCUUAGGAUGUUGAGCGCAUGUCUCUCUCU